CAUUAACUACAUAAAAGAACGUUUGUAAAACGAAAUAUUAUAAACCAAAACUAUAGUUUAUAAUUUCUCUAAUCAAAAAGGAGUUUUAAUGGAUAUAAACAAAUUUUAACUGAAAAGUUAACCUAAAAAAAGGGUUAAAUAAAAAAGCAAUUAAAAUUUUUCUAAGACUAGUGAAUUGAAACAUCUUAGUAACUAGGCAAAAAAUCAACCGAGAGACCGUGAGUAGUGGCGAGCAAAACCGGUAUAGACUAUUCUUAAAAAAUAUAUAUGAUAUUCUUAAAAUCUAGUAACCAAAGAAGGUAACAUAAAUUACAAAAGAGAUGCAGUCCUGUAAAGUAUAUUAUAGUCUUUUAAGAUACAAAGUAAAACGACACACGUCAUGUGUUGUUUUAAUAUUGGGGCACCACCCUCAAAGUCUAAAAAGUGUUAAUGAUUGAUAGUGAAUAAGUACCGUAAGGGGAAGGUGAAAAAAUAUUUGAAAUUUAAUGUAUACAAUCUGUUGUAGCUUAAGAUAAAAGCCACAGCGUUCCUUUUGCAUAAUGAAUCAAUGAGUUUAUAUCAAUGGCAAGCUUAAGCAGUUAAAAGUGUAGGCUAAAAAAAAUUAAGUUAUAAAUUGCUUUUAAUAGAUUCAAUCUUAUUAACCAAUAUAAGUCUUUGAUAUAAGACCCGAAACUAAGUGAUCUAACCAUGAACAGGCUGAAUUUAAAGCGGCAACGCUUAUUGGAGGGCCGAACUCGUGUCUGUGGAAAAAUACUGAGAUGAUUUGUGGUUAGGGGUGAAAGGCCAAACAAACUUAGAUAUAGCUGGUUUUCUGCGAAAUCUAUUUAAGUAGAGCGUUUAGAAUUCUUUAUUUUAAGGUAGAGCACUCAAUAAAUAAGGGGGGCGUAAAGUCUUACUGCAUUUAAUGAAACUCCAAAAAUAAAAUAGAAUUAACUAACCUAACGAAUUUGAUAUUAGCUUUUUUAGAUUAACAGUUUAUGCCACAUAAGGUGUAAAUAUCAGACCAGAAAAACUUUCAGGCCUGGUAACAUAAUUGGUUGUUAAUAUUAUUAAAAUAGUUGGGCCUAUUGAUGGUCUUUUAACCGCCCCUUUGCGCGAGGGCGAUAAAAGGUUUAUACAGUUAAUUAUAAAAAGAUUUUAAACAGACAGACUAUGAGUGCUAAGAUUCAUAGUCAAAAGGGAAACAGCCCUGAUUAUUUGUUAAGGCCCUUAAAAGUAAUUAAGUGAAAAAGAAAGUAAAAAAAUGUUAACAGCGAACAAGUAGGCUUGGAAGCAGCCAACGUUUCAAGAAAGCGUAACAAAUCAUUCGUUUAGCUUUUUAGCAUCGAAAAUGUAUAGGGACUAAAAUUACUUGCCGAAACAAUAGAUUUAUGCUGAUUAAAAAAAAAAAAUAAAAAUUUUUUUUUAUAUUAGUUUAUAUGGUAGCAGAACGUUUUGUAGAUUAAAGAAAAUUUAUAGUUAUAUAAAUUAGAAAAAUCAAAAAUGAAAAUAUUGAUAUGAGUAGCGAAAAACGUUUCAGUGAUAAAUAAACUACGUCACCUUAAGUUCAAGGUUUAUAAGGCUAUAGCUAAACUUCCUUAACAUUAAUCGGUCCCUAAGGCAAUAACGAAAGUUACAGUUGAUGGGUGAUAUUUUAUCAUAUUUUAUAGUGACAAAAUAUAAAUUUAGUUUUAUCCCAAGAUAUUCACAUGCAUUAUUUUUGAUGUUAUGAGGAAAAAAAAUUUGAAACUUCAAGCAAAACAUAUUUGGGUAAACACCUUUUUUAUAUUUUCAAGAAACAGCUUAAAAUAAUACCGUACUGUAAACCGACACAGGUGAACAAAUUUAGUAAAUUAAGGUGCUUGAGUUAAUUGUAUUGAAGGAACUCGGCAAAAUUGCUCCGUAACUUCGGAAUAAGGAGUGGCUUUUUUAAAAAGUUGUCACAAAAUCGAGGACAGCGACUGUUUAAUAAAAACACAGGUCUCUGCAAAUUUGAAAAAAGAAGUAUAGAGACUGACGCCUGCCCGGUGCUGCAAGAUUAAUAGAAAAAGUUUUGGCUUUGACUUUAACCCCCAGUAAACGGCGGCUGUAACUCUGACGGUCCAAAGGUAGCGAAAUUCCUUGGCAUUUAAUUGGUGUCCUGCAUGAAUGGCGUAACGACUGUCCUACUGUCUCCAAUGCAAUCUCAGUGAAAUUGAAGUGUCUGUGAAGAUGCAGACUACUUGCGGCUAGACGGAAAGACCCUGUGCACCUUUACUAUAGUUAUAAAUUGUAAUAAAAUUUUUUUUUGUGUAGUAUACGUGGUAAGUUUUUAUUAGACCGUAACACAAGUUAUUUGUUUAAACAUAUUUGAAAUACCACUCUUAAAAACUUUUGUUACUCAUAAUUUUAAACAGUUUAUAAUGGGUAGUUUGACUGGGGCGGUCGCCUCCUAAAAGGUAACGGAGGCGUACGAAGGUGAGCUCAAAUUGUAAAAAAUCAAUUCAAGAGCGUAAUAGUAUAUUGUUUACUUGACUGAAAGAUUGACAAAUCAAACAGAGAUGAAAGUCGGUUAUAGUGAUCCGGUGGCUCUGAGUGGAAAAGGCCAUCGCUCAACGGAUAAAAGGUACGCCAGGGAUAACAGGCUAAUCAUUCUUUAGAGACCCUAUCGAUGGAGUGGUUUGGCACCUCGAUGUUGGAUUAUCGCAUCCUGGAGCUGUAAGUGGUUCCAAGGGUUUGGCUGUUCGCCAAGGAAGGCGGUACAUGAUCUGAGUUUAGAACGUUGUAAAACAGUUUGGUCCCUAUCUACCGUGAGUGUUAAAAAUUAAAAGGAGUAGACCUUAGUACGAGAGGACCGGGAAAAGUAAAUCUCUGGUGAAUCGAUUGUUUAUUAAAGCAUUGUCGAGUAGCUAUAUUUAUGAUAGAUAAUUGUUGAAAGCAUUUAAACAAGAAACUAACCUUGAAAAAUUUUUUUUAAAAUUCGUAAAAGACUAUUACGGAAUAGGUUUAAUGUGUACGAAUUGUAAGAUUUUUAGCAAAUAAACACUAAUUUUAUAUUGUCAUAGAUUUAUAUUU
RNAcentral lists this ribosomal RNA (3033 nucleotides) under Thalassiosira nordenskioeldii. RNAcentral's name for it is "large subunit ribosomal RNA". It matches the Rfam family "Bacterial large subunit ribosomal RNA". Lineage: Eukaryota; Bacillariophyta; Thalassiosirophyceae; Thalassiosirales; Thalassiosiraceae. The record is from RNAcentral.